Non-coding RNA from Salmo salar (Atlantic salmon), 72 nucleotides. The record is from Rfam. NCBI's taxonomy places the organism in Eukaryota, Metazoa, Chordata, Actinopteri, Salmoniformes, Salmonidae.
UCCCGUGUGGCUCACUUGGUAGAGCAUGGUGUUUGCAACAGCAGGGUUGUGGGUUCAAUUCCCACAGGGGAC